This 433-nucleotide ribosomal RNA is filed under the name uncultured bacterium. RNAcentral's name for it is "partial 16S ribosomal RNA". It matches the Rfam family "Bacterial small subunit ribosomal RNA", at positions 29 to 507 of the family's 1533-position model. The record is from RNAcentral.
AGCGAACGCUGGCGGCAGGCUUAACACAUGCAAGUCGAGCGGGCCCUUCGGGGUCAGCGGCCGACGGGUGAGUAACGCGUGGGAACGUGCCCUUCGGUUCGGAAUAACUCAGGGAAACUUGAGCUAAUACCGGAUACGCCCUUAUGGGGAAUGGUUUACUGCCGAAGGAUCGGCCCGCGUCUGAUUAGCUAGUUGGUGAGGUUAUGGCUCACCAAGGCGACGAUCAGUAGCUGGUCUGAGAGGAUGAUCAGCCACACUGGGACUGAGACACGGCCCAGACUCCUACGGGAGGCAGCAGUGGGGAAUAUUGGACAAUGGGGGCAACCCUGAUCCAGCCAUGCCGCGUGAGUGAUGACGGCCUUAGGGUUGUAAAGCUCUUUUCUCCGGGACGAUAAUGACGGUACCGGAGGAAUAAGCCCCGGCUAACUUCGUG